RNAcentral lists this ribosomal RNA (1101 nucleotides) under Triticum aestivum (bread wheat). RNAcentral describes it as "partial small subunit ribosomal RNA". The record is from RNAcentral. Lineage: Eukaryota; Viridiplantae; Streptophyta; Magnoliopsida; Poales; Poaceae.
AUGAAGUUUGAAAGUUUUGAGGAGGCUGUUGCUCACUACAAGCUAUAUGCACUCAGAAAUGGAUUUGGGACAAGGAUAGCUUACACAAGAACACUGAAGGACAACACAGUGAGCAGAGCACUCCUGGUGAGUGGGAAAGGCGGCAAGCCAAAGAGGAAGAAGGAGGAGGUGCAGGAUGUACUGAACCCAGAAGGCAUCAUGAAGAAGAGAAAAAGGUGUAAGGUUAAGAGGUCUGAGUGUCCAACCCACCUUUACCUUACGCACAAGGAUGCGUGGUGGAGAGUCGAACGCUUUGAUGAUAAUCACAACCAUCCACUGAUAAGAAAGCCAUCUCUAACAAAAUUUCUAGCCUCAGACGUGGCGAAUCAGCGAGCCAAGUUUCGCAAGGAGUACCGUAAUGCAGACGUGGGGAGCACAAUUGCAUACUUUGAGGAGCUCAGGGCAAAGGAUCCAGAUUUCUAUUGGAGAAUGAAACUUGAUGAUGAAGACAGGGUGAAUGUGUUCUGGAUAGAUGGUGCAUCACAUAGGACAUACGCAAAAUACAACGACAUUGUGUCUUUCGACACAACGUACAUGACUAAUAUGUACAAGAUGCCAUGUGCCCCCUUCAUUGGCAUUAACAACCACGGGCAAUCAAUCCAAUUCGGUUGUGGUUUCAUUCGAAACGAACUGAUAGACAACUUUGUGUGGCUGCUUAACACAUUCUUGCAUGCGAUGGGUGGGGUUGCACCAAAGAACAUAAUCACAGAUCAGGACUUUGCCAUGAGGAAUGCUAUUGACGAGGUGUUCAUCAGGAUAGUACACAGAAAUUGCAGAUGGCACAUUAUGAAGAAAGCACAAGAGAAGCUUGGGAGGUUAAUGGCCGAUGAUGAACCACUGAAGAAAGCAUUCAAAGAUUGUGUUGACAACAGCUUGAAUGUUGAGGAGUUUGAGGAAAAAUGGUGAAAGAUGCUGGACGAUCAUGGGCAAACGGACAACGAGCAUUUCCACUGGCUGUGGGAAAACAUGGAAUGUUGGGUCCCGGUGUACUACAUGCACGACUUCUUCCCAUUCUUGCAGACAACGGCAAGGAGCGAAGGAUUCAACGCUGUGUUGAAGAAG